AGCGAACGCUGGCGGCAGGCCUAACACAUGCAAGUCGAACGAACCUGUCGGGGUUAGUGGCGGGCGGGGGAGUAACACGGGGGAACGUGCCUUUAGGUGCGGAAUAACUCAGGGAAACGCGUGGUAAUACCGAAUGUGCCAUUCGGGGGAAAGUGUGAUCGCCUUUAGAGCGGCCUGCGUCUGAUUAGCUAGGUGGUUGAGGUAAUGGCUCACCAAGGCGACGCUCAGUAGCUGGUCUGAGAGGAUGAUCAGCCACAUUGGGACUGAGACACGGCCCAAACUCCUACGCGAGGCAGCAGUGCGGAAUCUUGCGCAACGGGCGAAAGCCUGACGCAGCCCUGCCGCGUGAAUGAUGAAGGUCUUAGGAUUGUAAAAUUCUUUCACCGGGGACGAUAAUGACGGUACCCGGAGAAGAAGCCCCGGCUAACUUCGUG
Molecule: ribosomal RNA, 434 nt
Filed under: uncultured bacterium
Lineage: Bacteria
Description: partial 16S ribosomal RNA
Rfam family: Bacterial small subunit ribosomal RNA
Source: RNAcentral